ACAUCAUAGGGACAUCCCAAGGGACACUCAGGGGACACCAAAGGCACCCAGAGGACACAGAGACACUCCUAGGGACACCCAGGGGACAUGGGGACAUCAUAGGGACAUCCCAAGGGACACCCAGGGGACAUGGGGACACCCAGGGGACACCGAAGGGACACCCAGACUCCCUUGGGGACACAGCCACCCCCGUGGGGACCCCCAGACCCGUCUGGGGACACUUUGGGACCCCCAGACCUCCUGGGGAACCUCCAGAGCCUCGAGGGGACAAUUUGGGGACACCCGGACCCCCUUGGGGACCCUCAGACCCCCUUGGAGACACGGCCACCCCCUUGGGGACACUUUGGGGACCCCCAGACCUCCUUGGGGACAUGGCCACCCCCGUUGGGACCCCCCCAGAGCCCCUUGGGGACACUUUGGGGACCCUCAAACCCCCCUGGGGACACAGCCACCCCCCCUUGGGGGCACCUUGUGGACCCCCAGACCUUCUUGGGGACGCAGCCACCCCCCCCUUGGGGACACUUUGGGGACACCCCAGAGCCCUUUGGGGACACUUUGGGGACACCCAGACCCCCUUGGGGUCACCCAGACCCCCCUGGGGACACUUUGGGGACACCCCAGAGCCCUUUGGGGACACUCUGGGGACUCCCAGACCCCCCUGGGGACACUUUGGGGACCCCCAGGCCCCAUUGGGGACACCCAAACCCCCUUGGGGACACCCAGACCCCCCUGGGGACACUUUGGGGACACCCCAGAGCCCUUUGGGGACACUCUGGGGACUCCCAGACCCCCCUGGGGACACUUUGGGGACCCCCAGGCCCCAUUGGGGACACCCAAACCCCCUGACCUCCUUGGGGACAUGGCCACCCCCGUCAGGACCCCCCCAGAGCCCCUUGGGGACACUUUGGGGACCCUCAAACCCCCCUGGGGACGCAGCCACCCCCCCUUGGGGACACUUUGGGGACACUGGGGNNNNNNNNNNNNNNNNNNNNNNNNNNNNNNNNNNNNNNNNNNNNNGAACUCCAGUUUGAUGGGGGGGGGGAAAUGGGAGGAGACCCAGAGCGCCGCCUCGCGGCCCAGCGCCAUCGCCUCCGCCACCGUGGGGACACCGAGGUGACACAUCACCGAGUCCGUGUCACCGUACACCACCUGGGGGGGGACAGCGGCGGGGACAUUGGGGACAUGGGGGACAAUGGGGACAAUGGGGGCAAUGGGGGCAUUAUAGGGACAUUGGGGACAUUAUGGGGACUUUGGGGACACCGAGGUGACACAUCACCGAGUCCGUGUCACCGUACAGCACCUGGGGGGGACAGCAGCGGGGACAUUGGGGACAUGGGGACAUUGGGGACAAUGGGGGCAGUGGGGGCAAUGGGGGUAAUGGGGGCAUUGGGGACAUUAUAGGGACAUUGGGGACAUUAUGGGGACAUUAGGGACAGUGG
RNAcentral lists this long non-coding RNA (1439 nucleotides) under Phasianus colchicus (ring-necked pheasant). RNAcentral describes it as "lncRNA (ENSPCLG00000020120.1)". Lineage: Eukaryota; Metazoa; Chordata; Aves; Galliformes; Phasianidae. The record is from RNAcentral.